AACCAGCACCUCAAGUGGUCAGGAUGAUCAUUGGGCCUAAAGCAUCCGUAGCCGGCUCUGUAAGUUUUCGGUUAAAUCUGUACGCUUAACGUACAGGCUGCCGGGAAUACUGCAGAGCUAGGUAGUGGGAGAGGUAGACGGUACUCGGUAGGAAGGGGUAAAAUCCUUUGAUCUAUUGAUGACCACCUGUGGCGAAGGCGGUCUACCAGAACACGUACGACGGUGAGGGAUGAAAGCUGGGGGAGCAAACCGGAUUAGAUACCCGGGUAGUCCCAGCUGUAAACUAUGCAAACUCAGUGAUGCAUUGGCUUGUGGCCAAUGCAGUGCUGCAGGGAAGCCGUUAAGUUUGCCGCCUGGGAAGUACGUACGCAAGUAUGAAACUUAAAGGAAUUGGCGGGGGAGCACCACAAGGGGUGAAGCCUGCGGUUCAAUUGGAGUCAACGCCAGAAAUCUUACCCGGAGAGACAGCAGAAUGAAGGUCAAGCUGAAGACUUUACCAGACAAGCUGAGGGGUGGUGCAUGGCCGUCGCCAGCUCGUGCCGUGAGAUGUCCUGUUAAGUCAGGUAACGAGCGAGAUCCCUGCCUCUAGUUGCCACCAUUACUCUCAGGAGUAGUGGGGCGAAUUAGCGGGACCGCCGCAGUUAAUGCGGAGGAAGGAAGGGGCCACGGCAGGUCAGUAUGCCCCGAAACUCUGGGGCCACACGCGGGCUGCAAUGGUAACGACAAUGGGUUUCGAAUUAGAAAUGAUGAGGUAAUCCUCAAACGUUACCACAGUUAUGACUGAGGGCUGCAACUCGCCCUCACGAAUAUGGAAUCCCUAGUAACUGCGUGUCACUAUCGCGCGGUGAAUACGUCCCUGCUCCU
This 864-nucleotide ribosomal RNA is filed under the name uncultured archaeon. RNAcentral's name for it is "SSU rRNA". It matches the Rfam family "Archaeal small subunit ribosomal RNA", at positions 474 to 1337 of the family's 1478-position model. The record is from RNAcentral.